This 922-nucleotide long non-coding RNA is filed under the name Equus asinus (donkey). RNAcentral's name for it is "lncRNA (ENSEASG00005009475.2)". The record is from RNAcentral. Lineage: Eukaryota; Metazoa; Chordata; Mammalia; Perissodactyla; Equidae.
CAUCAGUGAGAGGACCGGUGUUUCCAGGUUCUGUGUCUGGCUCGGCCAGCAUCGAUGUGGAGCUUGGCACUGGACAGGAGGUACUCUGCUGGCCUCUGCUUCAUCCCAGAAACUUGCUUAACAAACAUUAGGCACUUCUACACCUGCCUUCUGGACCAAGUAGGGAGAUGAAUGAAGGAAGGACUGUCCUAAAAGGAUCUUACAUUUUUUUUUAAAGCUAACCUCUUAAUGAAUCCUGGAAGUAGUUUUAAAAAGGGAAAGAAUGCAGCAAGCCUCUGAAAGGAGAGAGAGAGAGAGUGUGUGUAUAUGUGUGUGUGUGUGUGUGUGUGCAUUUGGAGGAGGAGAGGGAGGGGAAACAUGAGGUCCUUCCUGGGCAGUGGAGAAAGAGAAAGGUUUGAAAGCUUGCUGGUUCUCUCGGCAGCCACCAUCUUGUCAACCACAUAUGCUGCCGUGCAAGUCACUCUGCCGGUAAGGAGCCUGGCCACCAUCCAUUCUGUAUCAUGCUUUCUCUGCAGUCCACAUGAUCACUGCAGCUCCCUCAAGUGCCCAGGGCUGGCUGGGAAGAAAUUUUCUUCUUACAACGGUAACCAAAGCCAUCAAAUUAUAUUGAGAUCAGAAAUAAAUACAUCCUCUAGGAAAAAAAGAUCUUUGUCUCUGGGUGGACCAGCUGUGUGGUCAAAGCUAAAGAUGAUAUCAUGACAUCAUGGGUAACAAGCUGAAGCCAUUUCUCAUGCCCCAAACAAGGCUACACAAAGUGCUACCAGGAGACUUCACCUGACCAUCCUCAAAUUUCUGGAACCUUCUAGCUAUUGGGAAAGGCCUGGAAGAGGACAGUCUCAUGUGGCAGCCCUUAGCCUACUUGAAUGAAAUCUGACAAAUAUUGUAAAAAUACAGUCCAUUUAAAAACUUCAGUGGAUCUUCG